RNAcentral lists this long non-coding RNA (884 nucleotides) under Marmota monax (woodchuck). Lineage: Eukaryota; Metazoa; Chordata; Mammalia; Rodentia; Sciuridae. The record is from RNAcentral.
AGUAAAAAGAAAAAAUCAUUUUUCAAAAAAUCUUUAUUUUUAAAUUUUUUUUUUAGACGUUGAAGGACCUUUAUUUUAUUCAUUUAUUUAUAUGUGGUGCUAAGAAUUGAAUCCAGUGCCUCACACAUGCCAGGCAAGCCCUCUGCCACUGAGCCACCAACCCCAACCCCGAAAAAUCAUUUUUAAUGUAUAAUUCAUACGGGGUGUGAGUGUGGGUAAAUAAUCAAAUAAACAUAGGGGCCCAUCAUGCAUAUAGUUUAGUAAUAUGCUUUUUCACUUAGCAAUAUAAAUUGUCAGGAGCAUUUUUUAUGUCAUUAAAUAUUUUCUAUAACAUCAGCUGCAUAAUAAACUCCUAUAACUGCUUACUAUUCUAUUGAAGCAACAACCAUUGUUUAUUUAGCUAGUUCCCUAGAACUACACAUUUGGUUAUUUCUUCCUUUUAACUACAAUAAAUAACAUUCCCCAGGAAGUAAUUAUUAAGAGACAUUUGCACAUAUCUCUGAUUAUUCCCCUAAAACAUAUUUCUAUAUAAUUACUAGAUCAAAAACUAUGCAUGUUGAAAAGGCCUUUGAUUCUAAAAUAUACAGAAGGUUGCCAUUGAUAUUCCACCAGCAAAGGAUAUUGUUGCUUAUAUUUUUUUUUUGCUAAUGUGAUUAAAAGAAAAGAAAGGAGGCGGGAGGGAGAAAGAGGAGGGAGAUGUAUUUUUUUUUUUUUUUUAAGUUCUGGGAAUUGAACCCAGGGCCUCACACAUGCCAGACAGUGUUCUACCACUUAGCUACACCCCAGGCCUUUUUAGUUUUGACUUUAAGUCACAGGUUCUUCCUAAAUUGCCUAGGCUGGCCUCAAACUUUCAAUCCAAUAGCCAGGAUUAUAGAUGUGUCUCA